Molecule: unclassified non-coding RNA, 304 nt
Filed under: fungal sp.
Lineage: Eukaryota; Fungi
Description: partial internal transcribed spacer region
Rfam family: Eukaryotic small subunit ribosomal RNA (bases 1-46)
Source: RNAcentral
AAGUCGUAACAAGGUCUCCGUAGGUGAACCUGCGGAGGGAUCAUUAACACAAAAAGUUAAAAAGGGCUAACACUCUUUUUAAUCUUUUUUUCCAACCAAUUCUACGUGAAUUUAUUUAACCAUAUAACAUUUCAAUUUUAUUAGUAAUAAUAAAAUUGAUUUGUUUUUUCCCAUUUUUUUUUUAAACGCUUUUCACUACUGUUUUUAUUUAUUAAGAAUGGAAUUGUACUAUAUAGAAAUAUAUAGUCCAUUUUUUUAAACAAAACUAAAAGCACAAUUCUUAGCAACGGAUAUCUUGGUUCUC